UGAGCAACCUGCCCUUGACUCUGGAAUAACAGCUGGAAACAGCUGCUAAUACCGGAUACGACCUCACCAGUCAUCUGAUGAGGUGGAAAGCUCCGGCGGUCAAGGAUGGGCCCGCGGCCUAUCAGCUUGUUGGUGGGGUCAUGGCUCACCAAGGCGACGACGGGUAGCUGGUCUGAGAGGAUGACCAGCCACACGUGGAACUGAGAUACCGGU
RNAcentral lists this ribosomal RNA (213 nucleotides) under uncultured bacterium. Its description in RNAcentral is "partial 16S ribosomal RNA". It matches the Rfam family "Bacterial small subunit ribosomal RNA", at positions 118 to 330 of the family's 1533-position model. The record is from RNAcentral.